RNAcentral lists this ribosomal RNA (467 nucleotides) under uncultured bacterium. RNAcentral describes it as "partial 16S ribosomal RNA". It matches the Rfam family "Bacterial small subunit ribosomal RNA", at positions 28 to 507 of the family's 1533-position model. The record is from RNAcentral.
GAUGAACGCUGACAGAAUGCUUAACACAUGCAAGUCAAAUGGAAUGUGGGUGUUUAUCUUGGGUGUUGGUGUCGGGCGGGUGAGUAACGCGUAAAGAACUUGCCUCCCAGCUAGGGACAUAAUUUGGAAACGAAUGCUAAUACCUAAUAUUAUGAUAAUAGCUCCUCGUAUAGGUAUGAAAGCUAUAAGCGCUGUGGGAGGGCUUUGCGUCCCAUCAGCUAGUUGGGGAGGUAGCGGCUCACCAAGGCGAUGAUGGGUAGCCGGCCUGAGAGGGUGAUCGGCCACAAAGGGACUGAGACACGGCCCGAACUCCAACGGGGGGCAGCGGUGGGGAAAUUUGGACAAGGGAGCAAGCGUCUGGUCCAGCAAUUCUGUGUGGACGAUGAAGUUUUUCGGAAUGUAAAGCGCUUUCAGUUGAGAAGAAAUAAAUGACGGUACCAACAGAAGAAGCGACGGCUAAAUACGUG